ACGAACGCUGGCGGCGUGCUUAACACAUGCAAGUCGAACGGAAAGGCCCUGCUUGCAGGGUACUCGAGUGGCGAACGGGUGAGUAACACGUGGGUGAUCUGCCCUGCACCUCGGGAUAAGCCUGGGAAACUGGGUCUAAUACCGGAUAGGAGCCAUUUUUAGUGUGAUGGUUGGAAAGUUUUUUCGGUGUAGGAUGAGCUCGCGGCCUAUCAGCUUGUUGGUGGGGUAAUGGCCUACCAAGGCGGCGACGGGUAGCCGGCCUGAGAGGGUGGACGGCCACAUUGGGACUGAGAUACGGCCCAGACUCCUACGGGAGGCAGCAGUGGGGAAUAUUGCACAAUGGGCGCAAGCCUGAUGCAGCGACGCCGCGUGGGGGAUGACGGCCUUCGGGUUGUAAACUCCUUUCGCUAGGGACGAAGCUUUUUGUGACGGUACCUAGAUAAGAAGCACCGGCUAACUACGUG
RNAcentral lists this ribosomal RNA (464 nucleotides) under uncultured bacterium. Its description in RNAcentral is "partial 16S ribosomal RNA". It matches the Rfam family "Bacterial small subunit ribosomal RNA", at positions 29 to 507 of the family's 1533-position model. The record is from RNAcentral.